Non-coding RNA from Nerophis lumbriciformis (worm pipefish), 1856 nucleotides. NCBI's taxonomy places the organism in Eukaryota, Metazoa, Chordata, Actinopteri, Syngnathiformes, Syngnathidae. The record is from RefSeq and is a predicted model, not a curated record.
UUAAGGAAAGAUGGCCUGCCCUCUUCGAACCUUUCCAGGUAAAUGACUUAUCAUUCUAUUUUUCCUGACCAAGUUUCCAUUGUGACUUGGACAUGACAUACUAGACUCACUUUUUGCCUGAAAAUGUAUACUAAAACCCUUAAUAUCAGUAACGGUCAACAUUUGCUGUCUUACAGAUUAAAGGGGAACAUUAUCACCAGACCUAUGUAAGCGUCAAUAUAUACCUUGAUGUUGCAGAAAAAAGACCAUAUAUAUUUUUACUCUAAAUGGGUGAAUUUUGGCGAAUUAAACGCCUUUCUAUUAUUCGCUCUCGGAGCGAUGACGUCACAACAGGAAGCAAUCCGCCAUUUUCACAAACACCGAGUCAAAUCAGCUCUGUUAUUUUCCGUUUUUUCGACUGUUUUCCGUACCUUGGAGACAUCAUGCCUCGUCGGUGUGUUGUCGGAGGGUGUAACAACACGAACAGGGACGGAUUCAAGUUGCACCAGUGGCCCAAAGAUGCGAAAGUGGCAAGAAAUUGGACGUUUGUUCCGCACACUUUACCGACGAAAGCUAUGCUACGACAGAGAUGGCAAGAAUGUGUGGAUAUCCUGCGACACUCAAAGCAGAUGCAUUUCCAACGAUAAAGUCAAAGAAAUCUGUCGCCAGACCCCCAUUGAAUCUGCCGGAGUGUGUGAGCAAUUCAGGGACAAAGGCCCUCGGUAGCACGGCAAGCAAUGGCGGCAGUUUGUUCCCGCAGACGAGCGAUCUAAACCCCCUUGGCUCACACCGUCCCUUAUGCCACCGAAGAUGAUCAAGAGAAGAAUAUCGACCCUAGCUUCCCUGGCCUGCUGACAUCAACUCCAAAACUGGACAGAUCAGCUUUCAGGAAAAGAGCGUGGAUGAGGUGAAGUGCAGAGACCACUGUUCAUGAGGACCUGGAAAUGAAGAAUAUGAGCAUCUACAUCUGUCGUGAGCCAAAUGCAGUAGGAAUCAUCAUUGAGGGAGUACCAGUCCUUACUCAUCUUGGAAACCUGGCUAAAGCCUGCUGCCUACCUCUGGGGUUGACGUAUGCACUUAAUCUUGAGUAUCCAUCCAAACUUUCCAAAACAUUUGAGGUGCUUCAAAGACUUUUUGUGGGACUCGACACACUGCGCCCAAAACCAACCCCCAAAUUCAUGACUCUCAAAAACAAGCUUCUAGCUUAGGCAGUGAGCCAUGACUGUCAGCUUGCACUUUUGAACAGCUAUUUUCUUGUCUGUUCAAAAUCAUUAUACAUUGUUCAUUGAGUGGAAUUCUUCAGAAUGUUGUAGCGGUUUGUCCUCUUCAGGUUUUAUACAAAGCUCCAGGUCAUCGUUUCUGGUGUGUAAAUUAAGUUGUUUUAUGUUUUAUACACACUAAAUUGCCCCACUGUGAAGCUCCAACUAGUCAGGAGGGAUCCGUGAGUUGUUUAAGUUAAAAUGUUUCAAAAUAUACACACUGAAAGACACUAUGGUGAAGGUGUUCUGCUUGUGAAUUGUUACAGAAGUACAGAUAAUCUUAAUGUUAAAUUGUUUUAGCAAGAAACUAUACUGUGAAUGUUCUAAGUACAACUUGAGAUGCUGAGGUCAUGCAUUCUUUUAUGCACUAAAUACUGAUGUUCUUGACUGUUAAUACUGUCCAGCUUAUUGACACGGUUUGGAUAUGGCUUGUGAAAACGUUUUAAUAAUAUGUAUACGGUUAAAAAAAGAAAACUACUGUGAAGGUGUUCUAUACAGCACUUUAAAAAGUUGAGGUCAUGCAUUCUAUGCACUAAAUAUGGAUGUUGACUGUUCAUACUGUCCAGCUCAUUGCCACUGUUUUUAUAUGGUAAUGAUUUAAUAAAGGUUGGAAUUUGA